RNAcentral lists this long non-coding RNA (2217 nucleotides) under Volvox carteri. RNAcentral's name for it is "long non-coding RNA (VCAR_LNC002266)". The record is from RNAcentral. Lineage: Eukaryota; Viridiplantae; Chlorophyta; Chlorophyceae; Chlamydomonadales; Volvocaceae.
UGUGAGUGUGUGUGUUACAUGGUUGGGGGGUGCGUGACUCCAUACCUGUAAAACUACCCAUACGAGCCGAAGGCCCAAGGGCAAUACUACAACGCCUAAAAGCCACGGAGAACAGGAAACACCGCACUCUCAGCCCAGACUAGCGUCCAAAGGGGGUAAUUGAGUUUCGGUGAGCCCACAUACGUUCCAACAUCCUCGCCAGACGUGCUGGUUCCCAUUUCAUGGCCUCCAACAUGCUCUGUUGAUGAUCGAAUCCCUCUUCAGCACGAAUAUCAUUAUAGGCUGGGCAUUCCAAUAACACGUGUUCUUCAUCCUCGAUUCGGCUAUUAGUACCACAACAGCGGCAAAACCGCUGCCCCCUGGGGACAUGGUACUUGCCUCUUCGUGCUCUGUUUGCCUCCAGAGCCCAGCAACAUAAACGAAACUGCAUUAGCUUACGAUGUGCUAAACGAGGAAUGAAAACCUUAUCAUGUGUUGGCCACAUGACGGCUGCGGCUCCGAAAAGGGCAGCCCCAUCCAGUGCUUAUACUUCGCCAUUUGCACUCCCGGUUGCUUCCCAUCUGAUGGGUACUCCUCUGGCAAGGCAGUCAGACGCGUAUGGUCCCAGCCGCUCAUCAAACGCCCUCUUAGUGCCGUUAUCAUCGCUCCUUCGGGUAGAGGCCUACUCAACAACCAGUCAACACGCUCCUUUAACCCCAUGACUCCUUGCGGUAUUCCGCUCCAAAUAUUGCACUCCAAGAAAGAAAGCAGUCGUAACAUUGAGGUUCCCCAACCCUCCCAUUCCGGGUUGGUCAGGGCAUGGGUUAUCUCCUGCCGUAAAACUGCAUGAGCAAUGGACCCCACCUUGUUUUUGAAGGCGGUUCCAGAAACGGAGGAUCUGUUUCACCAUAUAAUACUGUAAGGGGAGGUCAGCCAGCUCUGCAUAGAACAGCCUGUGGGAUGGCCGUGCCGUCCCCACUACCUGCCUCAUGAAUAAAAUCUGCAGCUGGACUGCACUAUCCUUCAAACAGGCUUCGAACAUGCCCUCCGCAAGGUUGGCUUUAUCCCGCCGCCUUCCCGCCCUGUCCACGACCUCUGCCAGCGCAAAAGGGCCCCACACCUGGCAGCCAUACAACAUAAUUGCUCGGACUUGGGUUGCAAAGCACCGCAUUCGCACGUCGGGGGCAAACAGCUUCAUUUUGUCCAGCUUUGCGCCAAAGGAAAACAUAGCGGACCGACCUGUAUCACAUAACUGCUGACGGCACGCACAAAAAGGCCGUUAUGGCCCGUGUACCAAGCCCAGAUAGCGAGCGCUAUCUUUGGCAGGUAUUACCUGGCCUGAUAGCCAUAACAGUUGACAUCUCUCGCUAAGUUCCGACUGCUGGGUGCCACCACAUGCAAAAACAAGCAAUUAAUACCUGGCGCUAAAACAUGCAAAAUACGAUACCAUUUUGGUUUCGGCGCUCCUUAGUGCACCUAGUGGAAACACCGUCACACUUGCACUACACUAAGUCCACACUAGCCCAUAAUGUACCGAAGAUAGUGUGCGCUCAAGUGGAAACACCCUGUUAGGAAGCGAACUUCGCCCACAAAUUUAGUGUGUGCGAGACGUCCGCAUAACAUAAUAUGGAUCGUAGGCUUUUUCUGUUAAACGCGGGCUCCAUUGCAAAUUUGCGGCCUCCUGAGGCUGUCGGUGUAGGGCGUUUGCAGGUCAACGCGGCGUUUGCAGGAAGGAAAAAAAAUAGCUGCUCAUGUCAAAGGUCUGUGGUCAGAAGGCACAAACCAGCUCCUAAAAGUUGCCCACCAAAUAAUUAGUGCUAGGAUUGAAAGUUACUGGCAGGUCUGAGGUCCGAUUAACUUUGUGACGCGCUAGUGUGGACUUAGUGUACGGGGUGUUUCCACUAGGCCUUACGGUUCUCCGCCAGGAGUGCGCCAACCUCCAAUUUGUUUGAUGAAUACAGGGUAUUUCCACUAGGCCGCACACAGGGUAUUUCCACUAGGCCGCACACUAACUUUUGGACAUUAUCUUUAACGUGGACUUAGUGUGUGGCAGUGGACAGGUGUUUCCACUAAGCGCCCCGGAACCAUACGACAGGUUGCUAUAAAGGCACCAAACCAUUGUUAUAAUAAGAGUGGGUGUAAUUUAAUGCGCAAAUCAUUACAGUUUGGUCGGCGAAUUGCUGGAAUGUGGGCAAUUCGACCGGUCCUGCUGUGAAUUCCACUGGUUAGCGGGCUAUU